CAUCAAAAACCUUUUCUUUUGUGGAAAGGAUUUUUUUGGACUUGGAGGUUCUAUGCUUGCUUUUGAAAGCGAGCUCCUCUCAAAUGAAUUAGUGGGGUCCGCUUUGCUGAUCCUUGACGUGAUAAGAUGUUUCUACGUUUUGGAUUUAGCACUGUCCCUUGGACACCUGCUCCUAACCGUCCGUCGGACAACGAUGGUGCUUCGGUCACCGCCAUGUUACAUUGGCGGGAGGCCGGACCCACAAUAAACCGACC
RNAcentral lists this unclassified non-coding RNA (254 nucleotides) under Russula sp. VT2364. Its description in RNAcentral is "internal transcibed spacer 2". The record is from RNAcentral. Lineage: Eukaryota; Fungi; Basidiomycota; Agaricomycetes; Russulales; Russulaceae.